AGGGAAAGGCGAAAAGAACCCCGGCGAGGGGAGUGAAAAAGAACCUGAAACCGUGUACGUACAAGCAGUGGGAGCACGCUUAGGCGUGUGACUGCGUACCUUUUGUAUAAUGGGUCAGCGACUUAUAUUCUGUAGCAAGGUUAACCGAAUAGGGGAGCCGAAGGGAAACCGAGUCUUAACUGGGCGUUAAGUUGCAGGGUAUAGACCCGAAACCCGGUGAUCUAGCCAUGGGCAGGUUGAAGGUUGGGUAACACUAACUGGAGGACCGAACCGACUAAUGUUGAAAAAUUAGCGGAUGACUUGUGGCUGGGGGUGAAAGGCCAAUCAAACCGGGAGAUAGCUGGUUCUCCCCGAAAGCUAUUUAGGUAGCGCCUCGUGAAUUCAUCUCCGGGGGUAGAGCACUGUUUCGGCAAGGGGGUCAUCCCGACUUACCAACCCGAUGCAAACUGCGAAUACCGGAGAAUGUUAUCACGGGAGACACACGGCGGGUGCUAACGUCCGUCGUGAAGAGGGAAACAACCCAGACCGCCAGCUAAGGUCCCAAAGUCAUGGUUAAGUGGGAAACGAUGUGGGAAGGCCCAGACAGCCAGGAUGUUGGCUUAGAAGCAGCCAUCAUUUAAAGAAAGCGUAAUAGCUCACUGGUCGAGUCGGCCUGCGCGGAAGAUGUAACGGGGCUAAACCAUGCACCGAAGCUGCGGCAGCGACGCUUAUGCGUUGUUGGGUAGGGGAGC
Molecule: ribosomal RNA, 731 nt
Filed under: Escherichia coli
Lineage: Bacteria; Pseudomonadati; Pseudomonadota; Gammaproteobacteria; Enterobacterales; Enterobacteriaceae
Description: partial 23S ribosomal RNA
Rfam family: Bacterial large subunit ribosomal RNA
Source: RNAcentral